RNAcentral lists this non-coding RNA (382 nucleotides) under Streptomyces afghaniensis 772. RNAcentral's name for it is "Bacterial small subunit ribosomal RNA". It matches the Rfam family "Bacterial small subunit ribosomal RNA", at positions 1157 to 1533 of the family's 1533-position model. The record is from Rfam by way of RNAcentral. Lineage: Bacteria; Bacillati; Actinomycetota; Actinomycetes; Kitasatosporales; Streptomycetaceae.
GUCAACUCGGAGGAAGGUGGGGACGACGUCAAGUCAUCAUGCCCCUUAUGUCUUGGGCUGCACACGUGCUACAAUGGCCGGUACAAUGAGCUGCGAUACCGCGAGGUGGAGCGAAUCUCAAAAAGCCGGUCUCAGUUCGGAUUGGGGUCUGCAACUCGACCCCAUGAAGUCGGAGUCGCUAGUAAUCGCAGAUCAGCAUUGCUGCGGUGAAUACGUUCCCGGGCCUUGUACACACCGCCCGUCACGUCACGAAAGUCGGUAACACCCGAAGCCGGUGGCCCAACCCCUUGUGGGGAGGAGCUGUCGAAGGUGGGACUGGCGAGUUGGGACGAAGUCGUAACAAGGUAGCCGUACCGGAAGGUGCGGCUGGAUCACCUCUUUC